Trichobilharzia regenti is the source of this 45-nucleotide non-coding RNA. The record is from Rfam. NCBI's taxonomy places the organism in Eukaryota, Metazoa, Platyhelminthes, Trematoda, Strigeidida, Schistosomatidae.
AUCCAGCUGACGAGUCCCAAAUAUGACGAAAUACGAAUCCUAGAU